GAUGAACGCUGGCGGCGUGCCUAAUACAUGCAAGUCGAGCGAACGGACGAGAAGCUUGCUUCUCUGAUGUUAGCGGCGGACGGGUGAGUAACACGUGGAUAACCUACCUAUAAGACUGGGAUAACUUCGGGAAACCGGAGCUAAUACCGGAUAAUAUUUUGAACCGCAUGGUUCAAAAGUGAAAGACGGUCUUGCUGUCACUUAUAGAUGGAUCCGCGCUGCAUUAGCUAGUUGGUAAGGUAACGGCUUACCAAGGCAACGAUGCAUAGCCGACCUGAGAGGGUGAUCGGGCACACUGGAACUGAGACACGGUCCAGACUCCUACGGGAGGCAGCAGUAGGGAAUCUUCCGCAAUGGGCGAAAGCCUGACGGAGCAACGCCGCGUGAGUGAUGAAGGUCUUCGGAUCGUAAAACUCUGUUAUUAGGGAAGAACAUAUGUGUAAGUAACUGUGCACAUCUUGACGGUACCUAAUCAGAAAGCCACGGCUAACUACGUG
RNAcentral lists this ribosomal RNA (497 nucleotides) under uncultured bacterium. RNAcentral's name for it is "partial 16S ribosomal RNA". It matches the Rfam family "Bacterial small subunit ribosomal RNA", at positions 28 to 507 of the family's 1533-position model. The record is from RNAcentral.